GUGCUUGCUUUGGUGGCACAUACACUAAAAUUGGAAAGAUACAGAGAAGAUUAGCAUGGCUGCUGCACAAGGAUGAUAGAAAAAUCUGUGAAGCAUUCCAUACUGUA
Molecule: small nuclear RNA, 107 nt
Organism: Choloepus didactylus (southern two-toed sloth)
Lineage: Eukaryota; Metazoa; Chordata; Mammalia; Pilosa; Megalonychidae
Source: RefSeq, a predicted model, not a curated record